This 379-nucleotide ribosomal RNA is filed under the name uncultured bacterium. RNAcentral describes it as "bacterial SSU rRNA". It matches the Rfam family "Bacterial small subunit ribosomal RNA", at positions 958 to 1357 of the family's 1533-position model. The record is from RNAcentral.
AACGCGAAGAACCUUACCCACGUUUGACAUGUCUCGUUUGGUCGCCAGAGAUGCCUUCCUUCAGUUCGGCUGGCGAGAACACAGGUGCUGCAUGGCUGUCGUCAGCUCGUGUCGUGAGAUGUUGGGUUAAGUCCCGCAACGAGCGCAACCCUCGCUACUAGUUGCGACCAGGUUAAGCUGGGCACUCUAGUGGAACUGCCGGUGGCAAGCCGGAGGAAGGUGGGGAUGACGUCAAGUCCUCCCCCCCUUCCGCGUGGGGCUACACACAUUCCCAAUGGUGGCGACAGCGGGAUAAUCCCAAAAAGCCAUCUCAGUUCGGAUUGGCCUCUGCAACUCGCGGGCAUGAAGUGGAAUCGCUAGUAAUCGCGGAUCAGCAUGC